GUCGGAUGAACUCUAAGUAUAUAUAUUAGAGUUCAAAUGAACUUGAUAUCAUGUGAUUGAAUUCUAAGUAUAUAGUUUAGAACUCUAUCGUUAAACUGAGCAACCCAUAUCCAAUCGAUCGCUAUGUCGUUAAACUGAGCAAUCCAUCUCCAAUCGAUCGCCAUGUCGUUAAACUGAGCAAUCCAUCUCCAAUCGACCGCCAUGUCGUUAAACUGAGCAACCCAUAUCCAAUCGACCACCAUGUCGUUAAAUUGAGCAACCCAUCUCCAAUCGACCGCCAUGUAUGGGCACCAGACUACCCAAAGAUCUAUUUUGCCAAUGACAGAAUGCUAACUCACCUUAGGGUCGAUUAGUGCGGCAAUUUCGAUUGCUUCUCAAAGACAAAAUAAAUCCAUGUUCACUAACAUCCAAUCUACCGCCACGUCGUUAAACUGAGCAACCCAUAUCCAAUCGACCGCCAUGUCGUUAAACUGAGCAACCCAUAUCCAAUCGACCGCCAUGUCGUUAAUUACAUCACUUUUUACAGAAUAAAACCUACUACAUCACUAUAAAGAUGUACAUCUGAAAAAGAAAAUAUACUACAGAUAAAUAUAAGAAAAAUUUUUUUGACAUCUUUUUAAUAUAAAAUUGUCUUAUUAUAUAUCCUAAUUCGCUAGAUUUCUCACCAUUUCACA
Molecule: long non-coding RNA, 674 nt
Filed under: Ananas comosus (pineapple)
Lineage: Eukaryota; Viridiplantae; Streptophyta; Magnoliopsida; Poales; Bromeliaceae
Description: long non-coding RNA (ACOM_LNC001258)
Source: RNAcentral